AGGUAUAAUUGUUGCACCCCCAUGGAGCAUGGAGAGUCUAUCCACGCCAGGCACCUCGCGCGCGGGGGUUGGGCAGUGGCCUCGGUACUGCCUCACAGGCUGGGCCACGUGCUGCAAUGUAAUUGGCUCAACCAAGGGACAAAAACGUAAUCGACUCAGCUGAGAGAGAGGACCCAAAAUAUCUCUCCCUCCACGUUCUCUCUCUCCCUCCCAAACCUUAUCCUCUCCCGUUCCAAUCUUCCUGGCGGUGGCGGAGGCGACGGAUACCGGAAGAAGCAGCGACGAGUGAGCAGCCAGCGGUGGGGAACGAAGAGCCCUCCCCGGCAUACCCCCUCUCUCUCUCUCUCCAUGUCCUCUCACGGGUGGAGCGCGUCGCGAGCACAAGGGCACAAGGGAGCGGCUCCGGCGGUGGAGCGCGUUUCGAGCGCGGCACAAGCGCCGCCGUGGCGGACGAGCCGUGCCGCCGUGGAGGAUGGACCCCGCCAUGGAGGAUAGGCCGCUGCCGUGGAGGACGGACAGAGGACCGGCAAAGGCACGGGCGUGACGGCGAGAUCGCCAGGGCCGCGCGACCUGGAGGCAUUCCCAGGAAAGGACACUGCAAGGAAGGUGUUGAUUUUGAACAGAUUGUGUCAUCAGGAGGAGAAGCACACGCCAUUGCGGCAUCGCUGGACACAACCAUGAAAGAUGUGAUCUCCUACUUU
This is a long non-coding RNA of Lolium perenne, 701 nucleotides long. RefSeq lists it as uncharacterized. NCBI's taxonomy places the organism in Eukaryota, Viridiplantae, Streptophyta, Magnoliopsida, Poales, Poaceae. The record is from RefSeq and is a predicted model, not a curated record.